CAAGCCCAGCUGAGAGGGAGCUUGGGAGGAGGGAUCUCAGGGAUGCUGUGUCCCAGCCGCCCCCUGGCCACCGCCUCCGCCUGGGUGUGGCUGCUUUGACGUGUCCCCCUGAGCAGGGACAGCAGUUCUAUCGUGAGCCUUGAGUAUGAAGGUGCCUCUUGAGAUCAUGCAUGAAGACACAGGCUGGAGGAUCCUGAAGCCAAGUUCUGGGCUGUCUCCCUGGAUCUCAAAGGUCCCCCGUGGGGUCAGGCCAUAUAGCAUGCACUCAGGCAAUGCCUGCUGAGUGAAUAAGGGAUUUGUGACUCAAGCAAAUGAGGGGACAAAUGGAGGUCGAGAUUGUCUGUGUGCAGAAUGCUGUCCGAAUGUCCCGGCAUGCCUGUGAUUUGGGGCCUGUCUUUCCCAGGGAUGGUGAAUGCUGCAGAGAA
Molecule: long non-coding RNA, 425 nt
Organism: Mustela lutreola (European mink)
Lineage: Eukaryota; Metazoa; Chordata; Mammalia; Carnivora; Mustelidae
Exons: 3
Source: RefSeq, a predicted model, not a curated record